UAACUCAUACAAUCUAUCAACUUUAACUUGAAUACUGUGAGCAUAAAUAUUCUGUUCAAUGUGUAGAGGCUAUUUUAUUUGUGUUGUUAUGUUAUGUUGACUGGACCCUUCCUGUUUUUAUAGGGGAGACUGCCCUGGCCUCUCCUCCUUAGGAUGUGUGGCCGUAUUUAGUUUGUUGGUCACUUAUCCACACCUGUCCGACCUGGGUGAUGUGUCCAAGACUGACCAAGAAAUACAGUGACAUAUCUAACUCCUAAAGAAAAUUUUAAGCAGUCUGUUCAGUCUGUUCAGUCUUUGUACUGAUUGGUUCUGUUUACUAAGGUUUCUUACUCCAACAACUAGACUAGCGUUUUCUUUGUUAUAAGCUAAGCUGUAAAAGAAAGAUUUAUAUUAACUGUGAAAUAAGUUAAAUAACUCAAAGUAAAAUGAGGAAAAUGUCUUUCCUAUGAUGCAGUAUUAGGCCACAUUAAGAAGAAAAAUAUUAUUUAUCAUUUUGAGAAAAAAGUUGAAGUUUCAAGAUUAAAGUUGUAAUUCUAUUUUGAGAAAAAACAAUCAGAAUGUUACAGUUGUUGUAUCAAGUAAACUGUCACGGCUACUUUACCCUCUGCAAUAUGUCUUGUGUAGUUGGGUUAAUGGGAUCGUACUUCAGAAUCAGUUUUAGUUACAAGGAAGUUAUUUCUUAGCACAUAAACAGUGUGGAGAGGACUUUAAGGACAUUAAAAAGAUGGCGUAGAAAGUCGCAUCUGGUCAGACGGAAAACUGCUGAAGAAAUUCCAACUGUAUUCUCAAAAUGAUUAAUAAUAUAUAUUACUAAUAUAUUACUAAUGCUCCUCCAUACUUUUCCACCUUUUACCAACAUUAACAGAAAAAAAAGUUUAUAUGAAUGACUUGUAUAACUCAUAUUUAAAGACUUGAAAAAUACAUAUAUAUCAAGAUUUGCAAUAAUGGCAAUUAUUCAGUAGAAAAUAACCACGUUGUGGUGCCACUUUACCUUCCAGAAUUACUCCUUUGCACAGAGUUGACAGUAAAACAGGUAUUACUGUCUUACUGCUUUCUACCAAGCAUCUUAGUCCUUUCAAUAUAAAGAAUGCAGCUAAAACCCAUUUGUAGCUCUGCAUGCACCUGUCUUUCCAUGAUACAAACCAAAAGUGAAAGUAAUGUGAACACUUCUUACACUGCGCUAAAGUAACAAAUCCUUUGAAUUAAUUUUCACAUUGGCAACCUGUUUAAAUGCAAUAAUUUUGAAGCAUUACGAAUGAAAGCUAACUCCAUGUUUAAGUGAAAAGAAAUGAGAUUAACAAGGCCAUCUGUUUUUUUAUGGUAAUAGCAGAAAAUGAAAAACAUAAACACAGCACAAGUUUUAAAGUGUUCAAACUUGCAUGGACAGGGACAAGCAGAGUUCAGUUACACAGGUAGUCAUAUGUCUCACUGUUCAUUCACUGUUUAUUAACUGGUUCUUAAACAAAGAGAUGUUAUCUUAAACUCGAAAUUUCUGACUAUUGCAGUGCAUUGAAAAACAAAACAGCCAAAAAAAUGAAAUGGUAAAUGCAGAAAGUCUUAUAAAAGACCUGAAAACUUCAGUGCCAUUGUCUCACAGUAACAAAGCGAAAACACUGAUAUUUGUUUUCUUUUUUUUUAUUCAGUUUUUUUUUCUUCUCAAGAGACAGACACGGUUUUGAGUUUAGUUAAACAUUAUGUGGUCGAACCAGUUGAGCUGCUGUGCAAGGUGUGUGCCAUUGUGUUCCUCCUUGAAUAAUCCUCACUCAACGGACUGCAUUAGUGUGGAUGAAAGACAUGCAAGUAGGUGUUAAACUUGUUUAUCUAGGCACAGUUUACCAGAAACAGCAACACAAGGAAUUUUUGACAAAGGCACAGAGAACACAUUAUCAAGUGCUGUCCAAAAAACAAAAAAAAAAACCCAAAUAGGAACUGUUAACUGUUAAAGCACCACUCUGUGUACUGUUUAAGAAUACUUUAGUCUUAUAAAGGUUGAACCUUGUUCUGAUUUUAAAAAAACAACAGAAAAAAAAACUCCUUGUGGACUUUGAACUUUGUGGUUUGUGUUGGUUACACUGUAGUCAAGAAUUCGAAGCAGGAAGUUUUAGGAUUAUGCGCAUUGCUGAGACUCGGUUGCAGACAGGAACAGAAAGAGAGAGAGGCAGGGAGAGAGAGGGAGGGACUUGUCCUGAAUCAGUACAAUGACGUGCUGUGCGGUGCAAUUUUCACAUGACUCAAGCACUUGUGGGUUACUUUGGUAAGGUGUGGAGCUGAAUACCCAGUGGAAAUGCACACUUUGGAGUGGAUUACAACACGAGGUUUUAAAGAAAAGAAAUAUGCGUAGAAGAAUGCUGUAGGACUGCUGCAGAUACCUAAAGAAGAAUGUUGGCUCUUGGAUGGUCUUUCUGGUGUAUUUUACUGAGUCUACACAUGCCAGCUCAUGGCUUGGAGAUUUUUGAACUUGACAGCCAUGAAGUCAUUUGCUCACAGGGUCUCUCUAAAUGCAAGAUGAAAGAUGAGAUGCCUGUUAAUCCCAGCAAAAACACUGUGGAUGUUCGGACACUAAAACCAGAUUUUAAGCUCUGCUGUACGAACAAGACAGCAUGUGCAUUAUGUUUGGUGAUAGACAUAGAGUUUAACAUCGAUCCAGAUGAAGACAUGGAAGACCAAGGCUCCUCUGGGUCAGAAAUGGAAGAAUACAGAGAAGACAAGAUCACUUCAAAAGGGUCAUUGACAGUAUGUUAUUGCACAGAAGCGUCCAUGCCAAAGUGCAAGAAGGUGGUGUUUACAGUUAAUCAUGAAGCUCUUACUCAACAAAACCAGCUAAAGAUCUCAGUGGUGAUUACUCAGUCAGAUGGCUUUCCCUUUGAAAUCUCCCUGAUUGUCCGUAGCUCAAGUAUCACUGAAAGGGUUGCUGCUCCUUCUUUUAAUGAAGUGUGCUCCCAGGAACUGCAGAAAACUUUACCAGAGUGUCAAGUGCCCAAAUUCACAUUUGCAGUAAACUCAAAGAUGAAUCAAGUGGAGCUGCAGCUUGAAGACGGGAAUAAGAUCCCCCCCUCGAUGUGCAUCCAGUACGAGCAGAAGGGAAGGUGUCAGAGUUGGAACAGGAUGACCAUACCACUGUACUCCGUAACCCGCUGCAUGUGUCUCCAGCUGUGGUACGAGGAUGGACAAAGGUCUACACGGUCACUACAAUGCCCAUUCAAUAAAUCUGAUUCUCUGAAUGAAUCACAAAAGAACAUAUGGGAAAAUAUCACCGUGUCAAAGCCCCAUGUACAAAUGACCAGCUUUGGAGAAAUGUUAUCCUGGAACGUGUCUGCGCCUUGCAGGCUGGAUGGUAAAGUGUGGCUGCUUAAGAAACACAGUCGAAGCAGGAGUGCCUUCAGCCAACAGCUGGAAAAUGGCACUGCAUGGAAACAAAACAUCAAGGGACUCUGGGUGAACACAUUUGUGUUUGAAAAUGUACCCGUCCGGCCCUUGCCGUGUUUGAUGAUGAGAGUAAAGGGAAUGGAACAUGACCUAGGUCCAUUUUGUUUUGAUGACAAUGUUGCAGCUGGCAGGUGGCGCUGGAGUCUCCUAGCCACUGCUGUUAUACUCCUGGCUUUCAUUACUGUGCUCAUAUUAUGGUCCUUUCAUAAAUCUAUCAAGGGAUGGGUGUGGAGCUGGCAACACGGUGGGAUAGUAAAAAUUGGUAAGACGCGUCAUGUUGUCCUGCUGAGCCCCCCAGACGUGGAUGAUGCCACUUCUAAGUUGGUGUGUCAGAUCGGGUCCACCCUCAGCGACAAGGGCUUCAGUGUGUCUGUCGACCAGUGGAGCAGGAGGGAGCAGUGUAAUUGGGGGCCUCUGCCAUGGCUGCAUUCACAGCUGCUGGAGCUUAAUAGCCUGGGUGGCCGAGUUCUGCUGGUUCUGACACGUAGAGCCUUGGAGAGAACCGAAGAAUGGAUGCACUGGAACAAAGAUAUUAUCAACGAAAGCAUGGGGAACAAAGAAAAUGAUCUACCAAAGCUGUGGUCACCUUAUUCUGAUUUGUUCACAGCCUCCCUGUUCCUCAUUCAAGCUGAAAAGCUCCUUGAUAGGGCUGGUAAACGUUUCGUUCUGGUGAAAUUUGAUUCCCACCCAAGAGAGACUCACACCAGAGACAGGCGUUUACCAGAGCUUCUUCAGGGGCUGCCUCUGUUUAGUUUUCCCUCUCAGACUCAGUCUCUCCUAGCUGAGCUAACUGUGACAAAGACAGAGAGAGGAUCAUAUGGAGGAAGGUAAAAGUGAGGUACUCCAAUGGCUAAAAAGGGACCAAGACCAGCAAGAAGGCAUCAUCGUGUAAAUCACCCAAAUGUACUUUAAUAAGUUGUAUUGCUUUAGUGUGUACAUGAAGAAUAUGUUCAUCAGAGUUAAAAAAAAAUCUGCUUAAGCAGAAGCAGCUGCUGUACCAGGACAGUGUAUACAAACUGACAGUAUAAACUAAGUCUUUACAUGUCUUGAGAGGAUUAUCUCUGUACACAAAGACAACGGCAAAAAAUCUGGAUGAUCUAAGGUUCACUGUUCAUUUUGGUCUUUUCGGGGAUUUUUUGAAAGUAAGAACGGUUAUAGUCUUAUUUUCAAAGCUGCAAAAGUGUAACUCCUACAGACUAAAAAUAACCGUGCACGGUAAGUCUGUCCACACCUGUCUAUAAAUAUAUUUGCCUCUGUUUUUGUUGUUUUGUUUGGUUUAAACGCUAAAACACAUCGAGUUGUGAUUGGUCUUUGGAAGGACAGCGGCUCUUAUUGGGCCAGUGUAAGGACUUACUGAAGUACUUGUUAUAAGUAUUACCACGUUCCGUAAGAGCGGUGCCUUGGGACGAAUAUGUGCUCCGCCCGCGCGGGAGGUGUGGGUUAUUUUUUGCAAUCGAACACAACGCAGCCAACAGCCGGGUCAUGUGUCAAGCGUGUCUGUCUUGGAUUCACUCCUUUUAAAGUUUACUGCCCGUUUCACCCUAUAGCAGCUCGAAGGUAACGAAUACUCUUCAUUUAAGAGUCAGUUUGUUGCUGGUCGUGUUGCCUGUUAUAGUGUCAGAUUUUCUGUCGGCUGAUAUAUUUUUUUUCAACGUGAAACAUGAAGAAGCAGAGACUGGCAUAAAGGCUACUUUAUAUUUAGAAGCACGGUAACCGAAUGGGCAUGAAGAAUCUCCACAGAAACCUGCUUCAGGGUGUUUGUCUAUGGAGUCUGCUGGCUGUUCAGGUGAGCAGUUGUCCAGAUAGCUGCAGUCUGUGUUCAGGGCCAGAAAAUGACCAGUGUGAGGAAUGCAGAGCUGGAUGGACGCUCCAUAAUAAGAUCUGUGUAGACAUCGAUGAGUGUGGCACACAGCUGGGUAACUGUCCUCCAAACAGUUACUGCUUUAAUACAGAAGGAUCCUUUGAGUGCAGAGGCUGUGACGUGGCCUGUGUGGGCUGCAUGGGUAGCGGACCAGCACGCUGCAGGAAAUGUGCUUCUGGGUACAGACUGACAGGGUCCAAGUGUUUGGAUAUAGAUGAAUGCAGUGACCGUGUGCUUGCCUGCCAUGGUCUGGAUGAGAUUUGUACCAACACAGAAGGAUCUUUCCGUUGUGACUGCGCUGAAGGAUUCAUCCGCAUGGACAGUGUUUGUGUGAAGAAGCAGUUGCCUCAUUUUGAGGAGAAAGGUCUAUUUGAGGAUAUCCAGGAUGAUGAGGUGGAGGUACUGAAGCAGAUGUUUUUUGGGGUGGUCCUUUGUGCUCUGGCAACACUUGCAGCAAAGGGAGAUUUGGUCUACACAUCUGUGUUUAUGGGAGCAUUGGCAGCCAUGGCGGGUUACUGGCUUUCUGAUAGAGGAGACCGUUUGUUAGACAGCUUUGUAAAGGGACGUUAGAGUUGCAGACUUUUGCAAAGAGAACUUUACAGGAAGUGGACAAACCAAUGUGCUACUGCAUAGAGUGGCUUGGAGUUUUGCAUUAUUUUGUAUUGUGUGGAAUAUAAUAAGUACUUUUAAAAAUGUCUUGUUUGUUAAAGUAUAUAAACUGUUGCUUUAAGUUUAUGCUGCUUGUAAAUGUGUUUGAUUCAGGAGGGUGACAUUUAGUGUGCCUUAUCUUCUGCAAGAGUGCAGAUUUUCUCAGACUCGUGGGUUUAAAAUGGUUUUCCAUGAGUCAGUGGGUGAUAUCAUGGUCCUUAUGGAGUAUGGAAAAGAAAAUACAUUUGUGCAGUGAGAUUCACAAAAGGUUGAUUCAGUUAAGCAGCUAAAGAAUUGAAGUGCAUUUUGUGGUAUCUAACAUUGUCUUAUUUCUUAGAAUAAAAUUACAGAUGUCUUGAAUUCUACGUACACAUUGCAGUUUUAGUGGGUUUGAUUACGGAGAUUCAAGUGAAACCUGUUAAAUCUUUAAAAGUAUUGGCACAGGCACCCAGGGAAAAAACUGGCUUUCAGGGUCUCAAGUAUCUUUCUGACAAGGACAUUAAUGAAGCAGGAGACAUCUAAAUACCACAGUGAUUGUUGGCUCACUUUACACAAGUAAGAGCCAAAGAAUCCAAACUAAAGGCCUAAACAAAGGGGGGAGAAGGUAUCUUAGCAGAAGGCUUAGUAAGAAAGCCAUGUGUUUAGAUUAUUAUCUGUAUUAAACAAAGACAUUAAUGUUGUGCUCCUGCACAAGGUACUGACCAUGGCCAGUUUUCCAUAUAAAAUGGACUGCUGUAUGUACUGCAUUGGAAAUGAGCCACGAUUGGGUUUUUCUGUAUUUGGAGCCGCCAAAAUACAAUGAGAGGAUAAAUUCACCACCUUCUUUUUUUUUUUUUAGGUACACCUGUUCAGCUGCCGUUAUGCAAAUAUAUAGUUGGCUAAUGAUUUAAGUGACUUUGACUAUGUCAAGGUUGUUGUUGUCAGACAGCCUGGUCUCAGUAUUUCACAAACUGGUGAUCUAUUGAAAAUUUUCCAAGAUAACCAUCUCUAUAGUUUACAGAUGAUGGUCCAAGGCAUGUGGACCCCAGCUCAGCAGCCAGACCCUGAACUUUAACAUGUAGCAAAAGCAGCGAUGAGCAGUUAGGCUGCUGCCUCCAUUUCUACCUGUUCAUGUUUCUGAAGUCAAAGUCUCUCUGUGCUGGUUUUCAUCAGUGCUUUGUGCCGUCAGCACAAACUAAAGGAACGAUUAUGUGUCCUCAUUAGGAUCCUGAUUUGUGUUGGUGUGUGGGAAUUUGUAGUAAAGCUGUUAUGUUCAAUGCUUUCCAUGUGCACAUUUUUCAAGGUAUAAAUGCUCAAAUAAAUACUUUACACACAGUUA
Molecule: RNA transcript, 7253 nt
Organism: Oreochromis aureus
Lineage: Eukaryota; Metazoa; Chordata; Actinopteri; Cichliformes; Cichlidae
Exons: 20
Source: RefSeq, a predicted model, not a curated record